This 493-nucleotide ribosomal RNA is filed under the name uncultured bacterium. RNAcentral's name for it is "partial 16S ribosomal RNA". It matches the Rfam family "Bacterial small subunit ribosomal RNA", at positions 30 to 523 of the family's 1533-position model. The record is from RNAcentral.
AUUGAACGCUGGCGGCAUGCUUUACACAUGCAAGUCGAACGGUAACAGGUUAAGCUGACGAGUGGCGAACGGGUGAGUAAUGCAUCGGAACGUGCCCGGUCGUGGGGGAUAACGCAGCGAAAGUUGCGCUAAUACCGCAUACGAUCUGAGGAUGAAAGCGGGGGACCGUAAGGCCUCGAGCGAUCGGAGCGGCCGAUGUCAGAUUAGGUAGUUGGUGGGGUAAAGGCUCACCAAGCCAACGAUCUGUAGCUGGUCUGAGAGGACAACCAGCCACACUGGGACUGAGACACGGCCCAGACUCCUACGGGAGUCAGCAGUGGGGAAUUUUGGACAAUGGGCGAACGCCUGAUCCAGCAAUGCCGCGUGCAGGAAGAAGUCCUUCGGGUUGUAAACUGCUUUUGUACGGAGCGAAAAGGUCUCCUCUAAUACAGGGGGCUCAUGACGGUACCGUAAGAAUAAGCACCGGCUAACUACGUGCCAGCAGCCGCCGUAA